Unclassified non-coding RNA from Pteropus vampyrus (large flying fox), 295 nucleotides. Its record names the gene 7SK. It matches the Rfam family "7SK RNA". Rfam says of the family: 7SK was discovered as an abundant small nuclear RNA in the mid-70s but a possible function has only recently been suggested. Two independent studies have found that 7SK RNA binds the CDK9/cyclin T complex (known as elongation factor P-TEFb). The record is from Ensembl. NCBI's taxonomy places the organism in Eukaryota, Metazoa, Chordata, Mammalia, Chiroptera, Pteropodidae.
GGAUAUGAGGGUGAUCUGGCUGUGACAUAUGUCACCCCAUUGAUCACCAGGAUUGAUUCGGCUGAUCUGGCUGUUUAAGUGGGUGUCGCCUUCCUCCUUCAGUGCUCCAUGUGCAUCCCUCCUGAAGCUGGGUGCUGGGUUGAAAAGGACAUCCUUCCCGGAUAGAGAAGGGGACCAUUGGCUCAAGGGUACAAGAGUAGCUGUGCUUCCCUGCUAGAACCUCGAAAAAUGAGGUACUCAUUAUUUUCUCCAUUUAAGAAAUGAGCAAUCUUAGCCCAAUAUUAUGGACACAAUG